AUGAACGCUGGCGGCGUGCCUAAUACAUGCAAGUCGAGCGAACGGACGAGAAGCUUGCUUCUCUGAUGUUAGCGGCGGACGGGUGAGUAACACGUGGAUAACCUACCUAUAAGACUGGGAUAACUUCGGGAAACCGGAGCUAAUACCGGAUAAUAUUUUGAACCGCAUGGUUCAAAAGUGAAAGACGGUCUUGCUGUCACUUAUAGAUGGAUCCGCGCUGCAUUAGCUAGUUGGUAAGGUAACGGCUUACCAAGGCAACGAUGCAUAGCCGACCUGAGAGGGUGAUCGGCCACACUGGAACUGAGACACGGUCCAGACUCCUACGGGAGGCAGCAGUAGGGAAUCUUCCGCAAUGGGCAAAAGCCUGACGGAGCAACGCCGCGUGAGUGAUGAAGGUCUUCGGAUCGUAAAACUCUGUUAUUAGGGAAGAACAUAUGUGUAAGUAACUGUGCACAUCUUGACGGUACCUAAUCAGAAAGCCACGGCUAACUACGUG
RNAcentral lists this ribosomal RNA (496 nucleotides) under uncultured bacterium. Its description in RNAcentral is "partial 16S ribosomal RNA". It matches the Rfam family "Bacterial small subunit ribosomal RNA", at positions 29 to 507 of the family's 1533-position model. The record is from RNAcentral.